UGUGCCUCUCCAUGAAUUCACUCAUAUCAAGCCUGAUCAUGGCCUCCUCAGAUCCAAAGUAAUAUGCUGCAAGUGCUUUUGCGAGCUCGGAUUUACCAACACCGGUUGGACCUGCGAAAAUGAAGCUUGCAAUCGGCCUGUUCGGGUUCUUGAGGCCCACACGAGCACGGCGGAUGGAGCGACUUAUGGCUUUCACAGCCUCAUCUUGACCAAUGACACGCUG
RNAcentral lists this unclassified non-coding RNA (223 nucleotides) under Hevea brasiliensis (rubber tree). Lineage: Eukaryota; Viridiplantae; Streptophyta; Magnoliopsida; Malpighiales; Euphorbiaceae. The record is from RNAcentral.